This 490-nucleotide ribosomal RNA is filed under the name uncultured bacterium. Its description in RNAcentral is "partial 16S ribosomal RNA". It matches the Rfam family "Bacterial small subunit ribosomal RNA", at positions 30 to 507 of the family's 1533-position model. The record is from RNAcentral.
AUUGAACGCUGGCGGCAGGCCUAACACAUGCAAGUCGAACGGUAACAGGAAGAAGCUUGCUUCUUUGCUGACGAGUGGCGGACGGGUGAGUAAUGUCUGGGAAACUGCCUGAUGGAGGGGGAUAACUACUGGAAACGGUAGCUAAUACCGCAUAACGUCGCAAGACCAAAAAGGGGGACCUUCGGGCCUCUUGCCAUCGGAUGUGCCCAGAUGGGAUUAGCUAGUAGGUGGGGUAACGGCUCACCUAGGCGACGAUCCCUAGCUGGUCUGAGAGGAUGACCAGCCACACUGGAACUGAGACACGGUCCAGACUCCUACGGGAGGCAGCAGUGGGGAAUAUUGCACAAUGGGCGCAAGCCUGAUGCAGCCAGGCCGCGUGUAUGAAGAAGGCCUUCGGGUUGUAAAGUACUUUCAGCGGGGAGGAAGGGAGUAAAGUUAAUACCUUUGCUCAUUGACGUUACCCGCAGAAGAAGCACCGGCUAACUCCGUG